This 100-nucleotide transfer RNA is filed under the name Methanopyrus kandleri AV19. It matches the Rfam family "tRNA". Rfam says of the family: Transfer RNA (tRNA) molecules are approximately 80 nucleotides in length. Their secondary structure includes four short double-helical elements and three loops (D, anti-codon, and T loops). The record is from Rfam by way of RNAcentral. Lineage: Archaea; Methanobacteriati; Methanobacteriota; Methanopyri; Methanopyrales; Methanopyraceae.
GCCGCGGCAGCUCAGUAGGUAGAGCGCGGGACUGUUAAGGCCCGAUGAAGAGAGGGCCGCAGAUAUCCCGUGGUCCCCGGUUCAAGUCCGGGCCGCGGCG